GCCUGGGUGGUCUAGGGGUAAGACGCCAGAUUAGCUACCUGGAGACGGGAGUUCGAUCCUCCCUACGGGCA
Molecule: non-coding RNA, 71 nt
Organism: Xylariaceae sp. FL1019
Lineage: Eukaryota; Fungi; Ascomycota; Sordariomycetes; Xylariales; Xylariaceae
Source: the annotation of a GenBank genome assembly